CAUCACAGCAGUGAGCAAGGCGAGCCUCCCCUUCUAGUGGGCCGAAAGACAGUGAAAUUCUUUGUUUUCAUUUUUUUCAAACCAAUAUGAUUUUGUAAUUCACAUACUCGUCACAAGUGAAGAAUGAGGCAUGGUUUUCGCAGGCUAUAUUGCUUUCAUCUUAUCCACAUAUCUGGGUAAAUUUAUCAAAGGCGUCAACAAAGAUUCUGUCAAUGUCAGCCUGCUGAGGGGCUCCAUCGAGCUCAAGAAGCUUGAGCUGUUGCCUGAUUUGCUAUAUUUUUGUGAGCACCUGCAACUAGUAAGCGGUACGAUAGGGAGCCUCAGCGUCAAGAUACCAUGGCAUUUCCUUUACAGUAAGAGAUGUGAAGUGGUUGUGCGAGAUGUUUCCAUUACAGUGGCACCCAAGCACCAGCACAGUGAUACUGCGACAGCGUUCUUUAGAUCGAAGGAGGAGUUUCUCACCGCCGUGCAAGUUGUUGUUGUGGAUGCAACGAAACAGAAAAAAACACAAUAUUCUAAGAGCGGCCUCCUUAAUCGACUUCAGCAAACAUUUCUCAAGAAUCUAGCGUUUCACCUGGAGAACCUCUCUUUUCAAUUAGAGGACAAGACCGGCUGCUGGAAAGGGCAAACCGCCAGGGUUCAGGCGCGAUUCGGUAGGCUGACGUGUGAGGCGACGGACUCGAAUUACAAGUCCACCUUCGUUCAACCUGAGGAUAGCAUUGCGAAUGAAUCGCUCUACCGCCUUGUCUCGUACGAAGGCGUCUCGGUGCGCCUGCUGUAUUCCUUCAAGGACGAAGAGCCGCUUCAACGGCGAUCAUCGCAAUUGCAGAACCUGGAGAGCGUGGACUCGUUCAUCAACGCUGAGGAGGUUUUGGUGUCCUCGGAAGGUGCUAUGGCCAUUUACUUGCAGAAGCGGUCGGCCACUGUGCAAACAGAGCCGCGCGUGUGGGCUGCGCUCAUGACCAGAAAGACAACCCUUCAGUGGAGCGCACCGUGCACCACGGCAAUCGGCAUUCUCCUUGAAAGCGUAAAGCAGGCCCCGCGUCGCGCCUUCUUUUGGGACAAUCGACCCGCUAGUCGCAUUCGAGUCGGCGACCCCGCUGGCACGUCAAGGUGGUGGUCCUAUGCAAUUGGCAAGGUGGUGACGUAUCAGAAAGCGAGGCGCGAUCGCAGAAGGUUUGACUGGGCAGCAUAUCAGCGGCGGAAGCUCUUCCUUGGCAGCCUCUUCACUUUCUGCCUGCAACUUCUGCAAGCACCUUGGAUCCCCGACAGUGAAGGACAGAGCUUGAGCGAGGAACAGCUGGUGCGGAUCUCUGCGCAAGAUGCCAUGGCGUGCUGGCAUGCGGCAAAAGAGUGCUUUGCACAGUUCCAGCGCACGAAAAGGCCGCCGCAGGGUAGCGCGUACGCGCAGUAUCUGCAGUAUUUCUAUUUGAACGAGCAGAAGUCAUGUGAGGAGCCGCUUCUGGAGUUGAGUCCUUUAACAGCGCUGCCAGCUGAGAUUGGACUCACCAUUGAGUGCGCAGAACUCGCAGUUUCUCUUGACCAAAAUCUGAGGGGUGCCACGAAUCAGGCGUACAUCGGCGUCACUGCGAGCAAAGACAAGCUAUGCGUACAGCUCUCCGCCGCCACCGCUACCGUCGUCGCCGAGGCGGACGAAGAUAAGCCCGUUCUCGCUAUCACUGGUAGCGACACCGCCGGUGUAUUGCUUAUGGCGUCAAAGGUGGGGCACUCCCCAGCCAGUGUUGAGCUCGUCAUUGAAGAGAUGGUAACGUGCCUCGACCUAUCUUUUCAAGAGCUUCUGGUUACUAAGGUGGCCUCAUACAUUGUCGCCGCAAGGCCAUUCCUGAAUCAGGACUUCUCGGAUGUCUCGAAUGCUGCGGUCCUGGUGGGGAACAAGGUGGACCACCCGGAGAUGAGAACGCAGCAGGAGCCGUUCUCAUCAUUUGGCAUCAUCGUGAAGUCCGUCACUGGGAAAGCUGACGGGGUCUGCUUGCACGCAAAGCGCGCUCAGCUAGCUCUCGCGCUGAGCAGGCCACCGGUGGCUGAAAUACAAGAAAUCAGCGCUAUUGUCAAUGAUGCCACUCUUGUGCAGCUGUGCUCGGUUGCCGUGACCCCUGCCCUGGGCAGUGAUGGCAUUCGCAUUGAAGUAGUGACCGACAGUGCCAACAUCUCCACCAACGUUGAGGGGUUUGAGUACGUGAAGCUGCUUCUUGGCUCCAUGAAGCAGCAAUGGUCUAGUCGCACGAACAACUUUGUGUCUGACCUGCAGGCUAGGCGCUCAGGCGACGCGAAACAGGAUGCGCUAUCGAAGGAGAAGUCACAGGUAAAUCUGGCACUGCGGUUUGAGUUCAUCGAGUACGGCGCGCUGGCGCUAGAGACGUUUUCCAUCCGAACCACCUUCGGUGAUGGAUGGCACAUUCACCUCAGCGCCGCCGGCGGGACAACGGAGUGGUGGUGCCACAGCAUUCCACCGCAGCCACAAGAGUCUUUCAUUGACAUUCAUGUAUGGGCAGGUGGCUUUUUGGUGUACUCGCCGUUUGCUGACAGCAUUGAGGGCAACGGCAUCGCCUUCACAUGCAAUUUCAACCACGUGACCGUGUGUCUCGGCAACGAUCUGAUAUCUAGUCUGGAGUCUCUUUACGACACCGCGAUGAUGAUUCUUUGCGACGAUGAAGACCGCCAUGUGUAUCUGAGCGAGCGCGACAAGUACACGGCCCCUCAAAUCAUCGGGCUCUUUACAGGCAGUCAUAUGAUGCUUCUUUUGGAUAGCAAAAGCGGCGACUUGACCUUGCUGCCGGGACACACUGAUACUGCAGCAGCUGCUGCUGCUAAGGCGGCGGCGGGCAGCGCUGAUUUUCGCCGCCCCGGUGCGAACCCACCACCAACGCCGCCACCGCUCACCCUGGAGCUUCUUGGCGAAGAAUGCCUACACGUCUCUCUGCAGCGGUACGGUGACAAACGCAUGGAUAUCCACGUCGCGCUCCAGAGAGGUGUGAAUGCCUACCUCAUCGGUGCACCGGCGCACAUUCCUCUUUUCGUGCCGCGAGACAGUAUGCGCGCAGAGGUGGAACUUCAUAUGUGUGCGCCAAGUGACGUGGACUUACCCAUUUUCCCGUACGGCCGACUGAACGUCGUUAUGAAGCUGUCCAACGUGGGGACCGUCAUGCAUAUUCCAACACUAACGGCCGUCUGGACGUACUUCGACACACCGUCGUUGCCGCUGUGCCGCCUGCGUAACAUCGGCUCGCGCCUCCUUUUUUCCUCUCGCCCCAGCCAACCCGGUGCGACACUCGCGCCGCGGUCGCCUGCCUCCGCCUCCGUGGAGGCGGUUGGCGCGGCCGCCUUUGCCCGCAUCUCGCGCCCCUCAGAAGGUGGGGCAAGAAGCGCCUCUGCGCCGUUGUCCACGCUCGCCCCGUUUGGCAUGUACUCGACACCAGUAUUUCCAUCCGAUAUGCGCCUGAGCGUCGAGAUCUCUGAAUCGGAGCUGUACUAUCCAUGGGGCGAAGGCAGUGUGGCGCCGCUGUACCUGCACGCCGAGUUGACAAACUGCGAAGUUGUCAUGCUGAGCCGAGACGGAUGUGUUGAGGUGACUGUGCGAGGGUUUCUGGCAAUGCCCCGCGUCAGAGCCGCCCUGCACACCUUCCCACGUGCGAUGAGCGAGACGACAGCACAGUGCGCAGAGGCGAGUACCACGCGCACCGCCGCUGAAAGCCGUGACGAGCAUGGGACGUAUGAGAAAGCACCGCCAUGGAGAACGUCCGAAGAGCACACCGCACGGCCCUGCAGCAGCCAAAGCGCCAGCAGUACCGCGCAACAGACGAGCCGAGGAGCGCGCGCCGCGCAUUCGCCUGCCGCAGCACAAGCUGCCUUUCCGAGCGAAGAGUACUUGGCGGCACCACAACACUGUGCAUCACCGCCGCUGGCCUCGUCCCUCAUCCAAGUGCACGUGGUGUACACAAUGGACAGCCGCCCGCCGUUCUCUCCGGAAAGCCCCGACGAGUCUCUGCGAGUCUCCCUGACUGCCACCGCUGUGCCCGGCAUCGGCGCACUGCCGGGACCUUUGCACGCAAGCCUGCGCUCGCCGGCUGAGGUGGCGGCGUGGCUAACCUUCUUCACAUUUUUCAAUCUCACCAACACGGUCCCGCUCUCCACGUCGAGCUGCGUGGCCACCGCGUCACCGACGUUUGUGUCAGCGGGGAACAGCACCAGUGGCGGUAGCGGCGGCAGCAUACCCACAGCUGCAGCGCAGAACCCGCGCCGCCUCAUCAUGAACGUACACACCUCUCCGAUCGUGUUCCAUCUGCCCUUCGCAGCGGCGGCAGCGGUGCUGUGGGAGGGCCUGGAUUUUGUGGCCUCACCCGGCUACAGCGUGUUGCGUGUACCGAAGCUAGAUGUGUUGGUUCAUGAGCAGCUGUGGUGCACCGCAGCGACAGGGGUAGCGACGUCGGUGCAGCGGCUGGCGACGUUGCGCGAUAACGGCUACGCUGUUCUGUCUCUUCGUAGCAGCAGUAGCGGCAGCAUAGGCGAGAUGGAUAUGAUGCCUGCGAUACUGUUCGAGUCGCACGCUACAGGGCCAACGGCGGCCGAGGUGCGCCGGCGAUUAGUGCUGCCCGCUAUUGUAGGGCAUCUUGCCCACGCCACCACUCUCGUGCAGCUACAGAAGUGCUUCACACUUGCAGCCGUGAGCGCAGUUUUUGCAGCUCGAAACGCGCAGACUGCCCUGCUGAAUGCCGUAAUUCUGCAGGAGAGUCAGCGCAGGAAGCUGCGCUACGCAUGCUGCUGCACCACAUCCACCGGCGGUAGUGGUAGCAGCAGCUACAGCAGCGGUACGGACGCCGACGCGGAGGCGCAGCUGCUGCCCUUAAUUUCCCCACCCUUGGCUAUCCACAUCCAUAGCGGCUGCCUCACGUUUGAGUGGAUGAGUGGACUACAGCAUGGCCUGCGAGCGGGCGUGACGGUGGCCUUCGCGAAUGCGCGGUGCAACGAUUACGACGUGCACAACCACCUCUCAGCCGCCCAGCCCGCCGACGACAGCUGCGAUACCACCGCACACUGUCCACAGCGCUUUCCUCUAGCGCUUUCCAUGCCGCUUAUCGUGGAGGUGGAGGCAGUAGAGGCGUACGUUUGGUGGGCUAACGCAGAGCGCACCAGCACGGCCGAAGCCGCUGUCGGCGAAGAGGUCGCAUCGCUCGAUGGCCCGCAGUCAACGAGUAAGCAGCACCCCGGCGUGCCAUUGGUGACAGCUUGCAUGCCACUUCUACUUUAUCCUUUUCAGGUGCACACGCGCAUCGACACCGCCGCGCAGGUGGCGGGCACGGACACAGGGGAAGCCGCACAUGAGAGAGGUACCGCCGCGGCUGCAGCCUCGGACACCUGUCUAUCUGUCCAGCAGGAGGACGCGCGCGUAGCGACAAGCGAAGAAGAGCUGGUGCUCAGCUUUGCGGUGAGCAGCGGCGACGGCACCAUCGGCACAGCUGCGCGCCGCUCGCAGUCGCUCUCCAGUGCAACGCUUCACACAAUGCCGUCGACCCCCAGCGACAGAAGCAGUGUCACGGCGGCAGCGGUACCCACAACUAUCAUGUACCCCAUGCGUCCCGCUGAGGCACUGCCGACGUCUGUCUUCCUAGUGACCCCAAUUCACGUCGUACUCAACAACUCUGCAUACAUCGUGCUGAGCGAGAUGUUGCUGCAUAAGGUUCAGGGGACGAGUGCAGCGACAGCAGCUGGAGCUCAGGGUGCGGUGGCGGAAGCAACACCGCCUGUCUCGCAGGGCGUCGCGAUCGUCAGUCAGUACUACCUCAAGCACUGUGUCGUGGAGCCUCCGACGGCAGCGCGAGGCAGUGCCACAACAUCCAGCGCCUCCCUCUCCUCACCUUUCCCACCGCUCGCCUGCAGCAGAAGUGAGCCGAGCAGCUACACUAGGAGCGCUAGAAACGGUUUUGGCGGCAGCUCCGGCGGGCAUGCGUCUUCGUCGCUGGUAAGAGCGCAGGCGGUGCGCGCGAAGACGAUCUAUGUGUUCCGUUACGACAGCGCACAGAAACAGCGCGUGUGGGUGGAGAGCCAGUCUCAAACAUCAUGGCAACUUGACCAACAGCAGCCGAAUGGCGACAACUCGGUCGAAAAAGACGAAGAGCGUGGCCUCAAGCCGUCCCGUAAUGGCGCGGCCGAGAUCGCUGAAGUGGAAAAGCGUAGCGUGCCGAUGAGUCACACACCCCUCAGCUCGCUGCACGCGAUGGACGGGAUGCGGAUGCUGGAAGCACCGGCAGUGCACGAUGGCCCCGCCAACCUACGAGGUACAAGGAUUCAUGAAGGUCCUUCGAAGUUGUCAUCGUCGUCGGCGGUGCAAGAGGAAAAGCGCCGAGAGCCUCAUCAGCACCCUCGCCCGUCUGCGCACGUCACGAUGGCCGUUCCAACGUUGAGCCCACAGGCUGCCACGCAGCCUCGUUUGCAGAUGCGCAUAACUGUGGCAGAGGUGUGUCUUAGGCUCGUCUACUACCGCGAUGUUGAAACAGUCGCCGCCGCAGUCUCCGAGGAGCGCGCUUUCUGGCAGCGAUACGCGGAGGUCCAUGCCUCAGCGCGACGCGCAGCAGCAGCAGCAAGUCCUGUGUCAGCUACUACGACCCAAACGCCGUGUCUCAUGACAUUCCUCGCCGCCAGUGUUGCACCUCUGCGAUCACUCUACCCAGCCAGCACGAACAGCAGCACCGCACGAAGUCGCAUAAACAGAAGUGCCAGCCCGCUGGCGCGCAGCCGUACUCCUCUGCGGUGGGGCCAAUUGCCAGCGUUACCGGCAUCUGCGCAGCAGCAGUUGCUUGCCCCCACCGCCAUGCUCGAGGAGGCGUGUGUGGAUGCUUUGUGCGUACGGCUAAGUGGCAUCAUCGUGUCCAGCUUCACCGACGCGAGAUCUGUCCAGCUCGAGUCGUGCGUGUGCACCUCAGUGAAGAGUCCCAGUCGGCCGCUCCUCUCCACGACUCAGGUGGAGCUGUACGUACCGUCCUCCGCUGUCGCAUAUCCGUCGGCAGGGGAAGCUGCAAAGACGGUGACACGAGACCUUCAAGGCGCUGCGUGGGUGACGAAGGUCCUGCGAGGCAUGGAGACUGCGCCCGAGGCAGAGAGUGUCGGUGCAUCUCCAACGAUGUCGCCAAAGGACACAAACGCAAUCGCUGCACCAUCGGCGCCGGUGUUGCCGCAGCCGCAGCCUUCCGAUCCGACAAGACAGGCAGAAAAGAGCCACUUGGCCGACUCGCCAUCAUUGGCAGCAGCCCCUACUGCAGCCUCGACAAGCGUCAAUGGCUGGAACUGCAACGGCGAUGGGGGCCAUAGGCAGGCGAUUGUGAUGCAAGGUGAGGUGGGGUGCCGCCUAGAGACGUUGACUAUCGACCUCAGCGCAGCCGCGUUGCGUGCUUGGUUAAGCUGCCUCGUCGAGCAGCCGGUCGCUGCGCUGCGGGCCGCUACAGAAAAGGAGAAGCGCGCGGAGCCUGUAGCCGACAGGUCCCAGCACGCUGUCGCCGUUGCCACGACGACACCAAUUCUGUCACCCGUGCAGUGGAAGCCUGGCCAAGGUCUGCGCGUGCACGAGAUUCGCGAGGCCUUCUGGGAACUCGAGCACGACAUCACCCUCUCCCGCGAUGGCCUCGUCCUUGUAUUCUCCAGUCAAGAAACAAAUUUACUGACGGUGUACCUCAACGGUCACGACAUCACGCUCGACCCCUCACUGCUUCUCCGCCCGGCAGGGCUGCAGCGGGUGGUGAUGGUGGUGCAGGGCGGACUCACCGUUCGCUUUGUCGGCAGCGGCCGUGUGCGGCUCCCGCUUGCGCUGUGGAGCUCAUCCCUGGUGGAGACGACGGCGAACGUUGGUCUGGAGACGGCGCUACUGCCCUUCAUGGCGAUUGGCGAGGGGAGCUACCUAGAAUGCCCCCAGGUGCGGCUGGGCUUUACGGAGCCCCCGGCAGAGAGUUCAGCGGGGGGUGGCAAUGCUCGUGAAACGGCUGCUUCGUCCCAAAGACCUGUGCCCGACUCGUUGGCCUUCAUCUCGAAAGCCUCGGCAGCAGGGGUCAAAGCCGCGGAGGGAAGCGAGGAUGCAAGCGUGGACGCGUCGCCACCACCGCCUCCGUCGUCGCAUGCAGACCCACACCAGUCGCAGCUUGUGCACCGCAAUGUGCAUCUUUACAUGCCGCACAUCUCAGCCAUCAUAGAGCCGCGACGAGAAUCCCGGCAGCUGCGCAUCCGCACAGCGGUGGAGUCGUGGAUGAGCCUCUGCAACGGGCAGCUGCUGCGCGACGACGUGCGAUGCACCGGAUUCAUGGUACUUUCGGAGUCUAUCUACGACGCAGCCACGACGACGGCGCGCACGACGGUGCUGGGACCUGUUGACGUGAGCGUGUGCAGCAGCAACGGGCGGCAUCACGCUGUCUCGCUGGGGCCGGUGCAGGUGGACCUUGGUCGCUCAGACCUACUGAUCAUGUCCACUUACGCUGGAGAGCUGCAGGCUCUUCGGUUGUAUGCCAAGCACCUGACCCACAGCAAGGUAGAACGGGCGUUCCUCGAACUCGUAGAGGCCACCUUGGCAUGGAAAGCGUCAGCGGCUACCACGAACAACACCGGCGUGCACGGCGAGGAGGAUGAACACGACAGUGAGUUGUACGACGGCGCUGACUCCAGCGACAAGAGCGAAGAGAAGGAGGGGGGUGAGGAGAGGCGCAGCAGUGGCCCUCGUGGAGGUGCUGCGCGCGAACAAACUGUGGCGGCAGUCCCGCCGUUGCAAACCGACUUCGCUCGCGCCAGCCAUACCAGCGACGCCUCCGGGGCGACCGCAAGUACAGCAGCAGUAAGAGAAGGGGCGAUGACCAUCGACCGGCCGCGGUCAUCGUCGACAGGACCACGCAAAGAGAGCCACAGACAGCCAUCGCGGCCCGCCACCCCGCAGGGCUCUGCAACACGCAGAACUGGCACGACGAAGGCGCUCCUGCGCCAGUUUGUUGCAGAGGGAGGCGAGGUGCAGGAAGAGGUGCGUUCACGCAUUUGUGCGGAGGACGACCAGAUGCGCCUCAUACCCACUGUCGACGUGCGACGGCAGCAGCAGCAGCAGCAGCAGCAGCAGCAGCAGCAGCAGCGGCAGCGUAGGCGCCAGCGGCUUCUUCGGCGGCGGCAGCCACGUGGGUUCUCCUGGGUGGUGUUUACUCCCUCCGUCGAGGUCAUUUUCAGCGACCACCGCUACCCACUCAUGCAGGUGUGCGUACAGGACGUCAUGGUACGUCGCACAUCCUCCUCGGCCCUCGCCUCCACCUCCCUGGUGCGGUGCCAAAGGGCCAGCGUGCGGGUCCACGGGCGUGGUCGCUGGGACGUGCUACUCAAGCCGAGCGCGGCACUGACGUGGUCGCUCACGCAAACGGUGUCGCGCCACAGCAGCAACCGGCAUGUCUCCUUGGUGGUGGAAGGGGUCCAUUGGCAAUGCUCUCACCUUAUCGUGGCAAAGUUGCUUUACAUGAAUCACCAAUUUAGCACCCUGGCGACGAGCCUUAGGCGGCGCCUGACCAUGGCGGCCGCUGCAGGGGGAGAGGCAAGCAGUGCGGCAGCACCGGCAUCGGUCGCCCACGUGGCAAUGGCGCCUGCUGUGACGAAAUUCAGAGGCGAAGACGACUCAGGAAGGGAUACCAGCAGCGACACCACAGCGGGCAGCGCCUCUGUUAGCACAGAUGGUGACGACGGCAACGACAGCGGGCACAGUAAGAGGAGCAGCAGUAGUAGCCGGCAAAGCAAUGCCAGCACCGAAACAUUCUCGGACACGAGCUCUCGGCGUCAACGACGGCAGCUGCGACAGGAUGCGGUGGCGAUGGGGGCCGGCGGCCAGAGCGCCGACUCUUCUCUGACAAUGGAGGCGGCACCAUCAUCACUAUCGUUUGUCGCUUCUUCCGUCGUGGUGAACGAAGUCCCUGCCACUGCCGUCACUACCGCCGCCGGCCGCCUCGCGGCGACGAUGCGGCCGUCUCAGCGUGGCGGCUACCGCAGGCCAUCUGUGACCGCAGGUGCGGGGACACCCGUGACGACUGCAGCCGUUUCUCCGGGGAUGGCGACACACCGCCUACUAAACAGUUUCAGCCACACCCUCUUUGCCGGCAUCUGUGAGCGCGUGGAGGUGGCGAAGGUGUCGGCGACGGCAACGCCUGACGUGCUGAGUGCAGCAGCCAGAUCGGCAGACCCUUCAUCAUCGCGGUCCACAGCAGAAACAGCAGCACCGAUGUUGUGGCGCUGCAACGAGCUCUACCGGCUGCCACCAUCUUCCACUACCGACAUCUUCAUCUCAUACCGCCGCGCCCACUCGUUGAUGCUGACCUUCUUCACAGCCGAGUGCGUCGAGUGGGACGGCGUGAACUGCGCCUGGACACUGAAUGCCAAGGGCGAGACAGCGCUGGCAGCAAGGGCAAUCGUUAGCACCGCCAAGCCGUCGCCAACGGUGCCUCCUCUGAGGCAGCAAAAGCAGCUGGACACCUCUCGCGGCGCUGUCUCUGCCACGACAACGAACUGGUUCGCCUUCACGUCCCUGCAGUACGGCAUGGCGAGGGCUUUGACCGUAAGCACCACCGCAUCCAGAGGUGCGGCGGCCACACCCGCCACGGCGACAGGAAUCAGUGACUAUGGCGGCGGCAAUGGGAAUGGAGGGGGCUGCAAGGUGCUUGCCUACUCGUUAGCGCUGACCUGUGUAGACGCGGAGGAAGAGGCAGACACGUCACGCUACCCCAUCGUGGUCGCCAGCGGAGAAGGUGGCCACGAUGCCUUGACGCCUGUCCCGCAUCAGCAGCAGCAACACCGAAGACAUGCUCGCCGGCGGUCCUUCACCGCGUCCUCGGCCGACGCCUCCGCACUGCUCUCCCGCAGCGCUUCGUCCAUGUGCGUGGGCUCGCUGAAGAAGGGCGGGGCGCUGCUGGGCGGCAGCACUCCAAAGGGUGCCGCUCCUCAAAUGGCACGGGGGAGCAGCAGCAGCAGCAGCAGAGCCGGUGCAAGUCACCGCACUUCCGACGACUUCGUACCUGCUCAGUGUGAAGAGCCGCUGCUACACAGAUCCCACGACCGUUACGAUCGCCUGCAGAUGGUACAGUGUGGCGCCGCUUCAACCCACUCGCUCCCGGAUCAGCGACGAAGCAGCGCUACGAUAUCGACGACGACAGGAAACCAGAAACCCGCUGCCCAACGGAGCGCACGGCCGCACAGCCGCAACACCGCCCGUGUCCCGCCAGCGGUGCACCGUGGGCGCCUGCAGCUACCGUAUCACGUCAAAGCAGCAACCACUCCAAUGGCUUCAUGGCAGGAUACUGAGGGAGGUGGCGGGGACCUUCUCGUCGUGCGCCUGCAAGCACGAAGCUCUCUCUUCAACGAAACCGGCUGCACGCUGCAGCUGCUGCCUUCACUGCAACUGCUCACAGCGCCCAACUCGGUCGAUGGCGCCCCAUCCUUGCCUGCGACAUUGACGACGGUGCCACCAGGCUGGCAGCUCCCGUUGAAUGAAGAGGACGUGCACAACGAGGUGGUGCUGCGUGUGUGCUGCCCCUCGACUCGGUGGAUGCCGUCGCCGGCAGCAUCGAGUGCUACCGCGGCCUCCUCUACCGGCAUGACCGUCUCCGGGCCCACGGCAGGUGUAGCGGAGACGAUGGACAACGCUACGACGCACCUGUGCUGGUAUGAGACGCGCACCGUUCUGGGGCAACUCCAAAGCGGCCGCUUUCUCUCCUUCAGGCGCGUUGAUUUAGCGGGUGACGCGGCCGGUCCACCUGUAGACGUAGCAGAUGCGGCAACAGCGAAAGACUUGGCGAGUUCCUUGCACAGAUGCGCCACUAGCCACACCCGUGACGAUCAUGAUGAGCGGCUGCUCAUACUGUUUGUUAUCCACACGUAUUCCGCGGACGGGCUGAUGCAGCAUAUCUCCCUAUACCCCCGCCUCACGCUUAUCAACCACCUCGGCCUCACCGCGCGGGUGGUGGUUUUUCAGCAGGACCCGCUUGCCGGCCCACAGACCCCAGAUGAGGCCACGCUGAUCGCACAAUGGACAGCGCCACGUGUCGGACGUGGGCUUCACGAUCAAGAACGUUUUUACCGCAGCCUUGUCGCCCUCGGCGCCCACGAUGCUCUUCCCCAUCAGCACGCCCUCCCGCUCCACUUCUGCACGUACGGCAGCAAUCUCGUUCUGGGCCUGUCGUUCACCCAGAGCACCGGCGACGCCUUCUUCACAGCGGACCUUGACCCAGUCGUCACACACCUGCGUGAUGCCGUGGAUCGCCACCCGCGUCUGCUGCAACUGCGUGACAGCCACGGGCGGGCCUUCUACGUGCAAGUGAGCGUGAUGUCCCGCACGGUGGUGCUUUCAGUGGCGUUGUGGGUGUACAACCUGACCGAGUACCCGCUGCUCAUGAGCGACGGCUUUCUGCAGCGCCGCCUCUGCCCAGGGCAGAACAGCACCAGCGGUAUCAUCCCGUCGCAGGGGGAACCGUUCCUGAUUGGCUGCCAGCUCGCUGACUUCACGCAGGGUUUCUUUGCGAUCGGGAUGGACGGCAGCUGGUCCAGUGCGGUGCCCAUCGACGUCGGCUCCAGUGGCGUGUUCGUCUCCGCCUUGUCGCGGCUCGGCAUCACGCGCAGCUGCAACUACUCGAUUCUCUUUCCAAACGCGCAGGAGGGGCGGCCCAUGGUCAUCCAAAUCACGCCACGGUGGGUCUUCUACAACAACACGCCCAAACAGCUGCGACUUCAAUUUCGGUUUCCUGGACUGGAAACGGCAAUGCAGCAGGCAGAGAAGCGGCGACGACGUUUGCGGAUGCGGGAGAUGGACGCCAGAGCAGCAGAAAACGACAUCGAGGCCGCCGCAGUGCCUUUCGAGGCUGCUGGUGCGACCCUGCAGGGGGCGCGGCACCGACUUCUCCUCGAGGCCGACGACACCGUCGGCGCCCUCAACUCCAUCGCAGCGGUGCAGCUGAACCCCGGCGACUACCACGUGAGCUGCAUCGGUCCAAUUGAGGGGAACCAAUUCCGAGUGCAAGAGAUGUUGCAAGGGAUACUGCCCGCCAUUACGUCCAUCCACGCCGCAGGUCGUGUUGGACAUCGCGACGUAUCGUCCUACUAUGAGUCGCAGUACACCCCGUACAUGGAUGUCGACCGCCCAGGGGAGGCAACGUUCAACCUGUGGGCAGCGCCUCGCGCGCUGGGGAAGCAGGUGGCCGUGAACUACGGCAGUGACUUGAUCGUGCAGCGGCCGUCGGCGCCGCACCCGACAGAGCUGGAGCCGCAUGACAUGUACUCGGCCGACGCCGUCAUCACGGGACGCAUUGCCGUGGCGGUGCAGAGCGCGGACGAUGUGCUGGCGGUGCUUCUGCAGCCGAUUCAGGGAACGAAGAUCCUCUUACAGAACCGCACGGAGUCGCACACCGUCAUGGCGCGACAGCUGGGCAGCAGCCGCCGCAACCGCAUCCCGCCUCGCCAGAAUCGAUUUUUCCUCUGGGAGGACGCGCGUCAGGAACACACCAUCCGCGUGCACCUUCUUGGCUACAAGGGCCGCUGGUUUGAUGUGGACUUCAGCGCCGGUGAGUGCCAGGUGACGCGCCACGUCGACACCGAGGCCGCGGCCGCCGCUGAGGCGCUCGACCAUGCACGCCGGCUGCACCCGCACCCGACACAGGUAAAACUGGAGGCGGAGCUGCACGGACGGACGGCGGCAGCAGCGGACUUUUCAUUCCACGUGCGCGGCUACACAAACACUGAGAAGACGCUCGUCACGAUCCUGGUGACAGAGACCCCUGUGCCGGUCUACGCUGCCAUCGACUCGUGGCGCACUUCGCAAGCCGUGUCGCUACGAAUGACGAUGGUGCAGCUGAGCUGGACACAAGAGAUGAGCACACACGUGGCGACCGCAGCAAAGUUCGCGACGCCGUUCGCGAUCGAUGACGGUGGUGAUGGGGUAGUCGACAGCGGUGCAUCUGGUGUGGCGAUCGCGCCCGCCGAGGGCACGGAUCGUGGCGGCGAUACCGUGACGGCCGCGCCGCCAUCCAGCGUGGCGAACGCAGCCCUCUUCUCCAUCAUCCUGGAGGGGGUGCAGCUGGAGCGCCUCGCCACGGAGGACAACGAAAACUUCUACCUCGCCGUGCACCAAAUGCAGUGGGUAGAUGAAAAGCGGAAGGCCGUAUUUGUCUACCGGGCGCGCCCACGCCUCCCGCCGGCCAUGGCUAUGCUGCAGGCUGCAGACGCAGCACAAGGCAGCGCAAGUGUAGCGGCGCCGAUGCUUCGAACGCCACGGCUCUCCUCAUCCUCCCCAUCUUCUCUAUCCUCGCCCUCAUGUGCAAAGCCGAACCCGAGCGACCGCGCUGGUAGCCUCACCAGGCGACGGCAGCUACAUCGCGCCGGCUCCCCUGCCGUCGGCACAGCUGCAGCUGGUGCAAAGAGCCGCGACGUCAGUAGUGGCGGAUAUGGAGCGCUUUUGGAGCCCAUCACCGCCACCGCCAACCGCCUGCUCAGCACCGCUCUCGGCCGCAGCAACGCGUUUCUCCUCUGCAUGGAGAAGCAGAACGACCUGGAGAUAAGCUACAGCCUCAUCAAGUAUGCUGAUGGCGUGACGCGCUACACAGAGCUGCGCCACGUCCUAACCCCGCUAGUCGUAGUGCUGACCGACUUUUUGGUGGUGGAUAUGAUCCAGGAGGUGCGUCGGCUGCGAGUGCUGCUCGGCCUUCGCAAGCAGACGGCCGCCUCACAGACCACCACGACGUCGCCGGUGGUGUUGACGGUCUCCUCGCUCCGGCAGCAGCAACGGUCAACGUGGCGUGCCUUCGGAGACGAGGACACGGGCAGCGGUGUGAUGGUUGGGGUGCCUGGCAAACAGGCGUUUUCCAAACCUUGUGCACGCCCCCCCUCAUGGAAGCUGGGGCAACGCAGCGGCAGUGUGGUCGUGGUGAACGGCGACACGGAGGCAGACGUCCUGCCGUCAGAGCAACCGACCCUUGCAGCUCAAGCGGCGCCUCGGCGCCGGUCCCCAAACGAACGCACCAGCAGCGAAGACGCGGUGCAGCGGCGCGGACGACAAACCGACCCGCUGUCGCGAAGGGGCAGUCGAGACAGAAGCCGCGACGGCGACAAGAGCAACGCAACGGCGGCAUCGUCCGUGCACACAAGACGCACUGGCAGCAGUCACACGUACGAUAGCAAGGCGGGCAAGAUGCGCAGCGCCACGAGGCGCUUGACGACAACUACGCCAACCUCCCCACGCCGCUCGGGCCCGUCAUGUGCCGUGAUCGCUGCCACCGCCGUCGCAGUGCCACCGCAGCAGCAGCACCAGCAGGGAGACGGCAACACUGCCGGCUUUCUUUCACAAGCCUUCUUCCUUCAAAAACUCGUUCAGGAAGUGCGCACACGCCUGGAGCAGCGGGGGACGGAUGCGAUGGCCGGGUCGCUGGCCGCCCUCGCCACUCGAGGAGAGAAGCAGCUGCAGCCUGGUAGUGGGAAACUGUUGCUCCUGCCUGGAGGAAUCGCCGGUGCAGGCCCCCAGGCGCAACAUCGGCAGCUGCUGCGCGGCGCCACCUCGGCUGCUGUGCGCCAUUACCAAAGCGCGAUGCACUGCGGUGGUCCCGGCGAUGGUCUUGCAGGGGUCACGACCGUAGACGCAGACGGGAGCCGCGCGGUGGCUGACGUGGGGAGCAGCGGUGCCAGGGCUGCAGGCGACGGAGGAGUUGGCAGCGUCAGCACAGCCUCGUUCAUGUUCAUCGAGCGACUGGAGGUGCAGCGCGUGACGCUGUACGUCACCUUUGUUCGCCACAGCCCCGACCCCCUGCGACCGUUGCUCGGCGCCUAUGCAUGGAUGCUACCCAGUCAGCUAUGUCAGCGGGAAUUCUACCUCCCCGCUUGGACGCUGACGCGGCAGGUGGAAACACCCGCGUCGCUGCGAGCGCGUCUUGUGCGGUGGGGGAUGCACAGCUUGCGCGAGCAGUGGACCAAGGUGACGAAGCUCGGUACGCUGCUGGACGCGCUGAAGUUCUGGCAGCAUAGGACGCUGCUUCUGCACGGUGCCCCGCGACCCUUGACGCUCUCCCGCGUGCAGCAGCAGCAACAGCAGGAGAGGGGUGGGGGCGGUGGGCAGCCACUCGCUACCUUCGCCCCAUGCAUAUCAUCGGGUGAAGAAGAGAACGAUGAAAACACGGACGAUGACAGCGGCAACGCGGAUCCACAAAGGGGCGGUGCGCAAGUGGAGAGCCCCAUCGCUUUCAUGAAGCAGCGGCAAUGAUGGCCGCGGAAGGCGUAGCGGGCAAGGUAUGAAUGCAUAGGUAACCCAUCUUCUUGAAGGGUCUCUGUGGGUGUGUCUCUCUUUGUGGGCCACUGCCGUGUCAUCGGCCAAGUGCUAUGUCAGCUUCAGCCCACUCCCACUCUCUGACGCAUGGACAACGAUUGCAUCACGCCUUGGCGUCCUUGCGCUGCUUAGCAUCUUACACAUGCACCAGACACCCAUGCACACACACACGUUUGGAUCUGAGCGCUACAUUGGCGAUUUCACGCGAGCGUGUAAGGGGACUGCUGUACGCAAACGCCUCAAAUGCGGAACACACAGAAGUCAUGGCACACGUGACUCUCUACGCGCGCUGCGACGGGGCGAUGAUGGCAUCCGUAAAAGUGCGCCGCAUCUCUUCGCCGUAUUCACCGCACCUCACCCUUGGAGGCGGUGGGGUGGGGCCUCGCGCACGUGGUGUGACGUCUGCCGCCCCCCCCCCCCAGCACUCUCUGUGUUCGAUUCCCUCUCUUUCCUCCUCCACCACAUUUUUUU
This 16783-nucleotide unclassified non-coding RNA is filed under the name Leishmania donovani. RNAcentral describes it as "gene:LdHU3.09.1230(CDS-product:N-inal_region_of_C horein_a_TM_vesicle-mediated_sorter_putative)". Lineage: Eukaryota; Euglenozoa; Kinetoplastea; Trypanosomatida; Trypanosomatidae. The record is from RNAcentral.